UACGUAGGGUGCAAGCGUUGUCCGGAAUUAUUGGGCGUAAAGAGCUCGUAGGCGGUCUGUCGCGUCUGCUGUGAAAACUCGGGGCUUAACCCCGGGCCUGCAGUGGGUACGGGCAGACUAGAGUUCGGUAGGGGAGACUGGAAUUCCUGGUGUAGCGGUGAAAUGCGCAGAUAUCAGGAGGAACACCGGUGGCGAAGGCGGGUCUCUGGGCCGAUACUGACGCUGAGGAGCGAAAGCGUGGGGAGCGAACAGG
RNAcentral lists this ribosomal RNA (253 nucleotides) under uncultured bacterium. Its description in RNAcentral is "partial 16S ribosomal RNA". It matches the Rfam family "Bacterial small subunit ribosomal RNA", at positions 524 to 776 of the family's 1533-position model. The record is from RNAcentral.